RNAcentral lists this ribosomal RNA (162 nucleotides) under uncultured bacterium. RNAcentral describes it as "partial 16S ribosomal RNA". It matches the Rfam family "Bacterial small subunit ribosomal RNA", at positions 357 to 511 of the family's 1533-position model. The record is from RNAcentral.
GGGAAUAUUGGACAAUGGGCGAAAGCCUGAUCCAGCCAUGCCGCGUGUGUGAAGAAGGUCUUCGGAUUGUAAAGCACUUUAAGUUGGGAGGAAGGGCAGUAAGUUAAUACCUUGCUGUUUUGACGUUACCGACAGAAUAAGCACCGGCUAACUCUGUGCCUG